AGAGUUUGAUCCUGGCUCAGAUUGAACGCUGGCGGCAUGCCUUACACAUGCAAGUCGAACGGCAGCACGGGAGCAAUCCUGGUGGCGAGUGGCGAACGGGUGAGUAAUACAUCGGAACGUGCCCAGUAGUGGGGGAUAACCCGGCGAAAGCCGGACUAAUACCGCAUACGACCUACGGGUGAAAGCAGGGGAUCGCAAGACCUUGCGCUAUCGGAGCGGCCGAUGUCAGAUUAGCUUGUUGGCGGGGUAAAAGCCCACCAAGGCGACGAUCUGUAGCUGGUCUGAGAGGACGACCAGCCACACUGGGACUGAGACACGGCCCAGACUCCUACGGGAGGCAGCAGUGGGGAAUUUUGGACAAUGGGCGCAAGCCUGAUCCAGCCAUGCCGCGUGCGGGAAGAAGGCCUUCGGGUUGUAAACCGCUUUUGUCAGGGAAGAAACGCUCCGGAUUAAUACCUCGGAGUAAUGACGGUACCUGAAGAAUAAGCACCGGCUAACUACGUGCCAGCAGCCGCGGUAAUACGUAGGGUGCAAGCGUUAAUCGGAAUUACUGGGCGUAAAGCGUGCGCAGGCGGCUUUGCAAGACAGAUGUGAAAUCCCCGGGCUUAACCUGGGAACUGCAUUUGUGACUGCAUGGCUGGAGUGCGGCAGAGGGGGAUGGAAUUCCGCGUGUAGCAGUGAAAUGCGUAGAUAUGCGGAGGAACACCGAUGG
RNAcentral lists this ribosomal RNA (712 nucleotides) under uncultured Burkholderiales bacterium. RNAcentral's name for it is "bacterial SSU rRNA". It matches the Rfam family "Bacterial small subunit ribosomal RNA", at positions 8 to 715 of the family's 1533-position model. Lineage: Bacteria; Pseudomonadati; Pseudomonadota; Betaproteobacteria; Burkholderiales. The record is from RNAcentral.